GCUCAGGAUGAACGCUGGCGGCGUGCCUAAUACAUGCAAGUCGAGCGAAUGGAUUGAGAGCUUGCUCUCAAGAAGUUAGCGGCGGACGGGUGAGUAACACGUGGGUAACCUGCCCAUAAGACUGGGAUAACUCCGGGAAACCGGGGCUAAUACCGGAUAAYAUUUUGAACUGCAUGGUUCGAAAUUGAAAGGCGGCUUCGGCUGUCACUUAUGGAUGGACCCGCGUCGCAUUAGCUAGUUGGUGAGGUAACGGCUCACCAAGGCAACGAUGCGUAGCCGACCUGAGAGGGUGAUCGGCCACACUGGGACUGAGACACGGCCCAGACUCCUACGGGAGGCAGCAGUAGGGAAUCUUCCGCAAUGGACGAAAGUCUGACGGAGCAACGCCGCGUGAGUGAUGAAGGCUUUCGGGUCGUAAAACUCUGUUGUUAGGGAAGAACAAGUGCUAGUUGAAUAAGCUGGCACCUU
Molecule: ribosomal RNA, 468 nt
Filed under: Bacillus sp. R-46245
Lineage: Bacteria; Bacillati; Bacillota; Bacilli; Caryophanales; Bacillaceae
Description: bacterial SSU rRNA
Rfam family: Bacterial small subunit ribosomal RNA
Source: RNAcentral